GGCUCAAGCAUUUCCAGAAGAUUCUUCAGAUCUCGAUCGAUAAAUUCGAAUACCAUGUAGAGUUUGCUGUCUGGAAAUUGAUUAAUUAAUUGUUUUAAAUUUAAAACUUAAAGGUGGUGUAGUCGAAUUUUUUAUUGCUUUAUUAGACCCAAAAUUGCCUAAAAACACUGAAUUUCAUACUGCUUGAAAACUUCUCAAAAAAAAUGUUAUUAUAGUUCAAAAAAUGGCCUGAAAUUAGUUAAAAUUUGAAAUUUGCCCGACUUGUCAAGCGGCUAGAAACUAACUUUUUUGAAAUCACCGUCAAAUUUUGAGUAUACAAUGUAAUUAUCUUGCGUUUUCAGCUCGAUUUAGGUAUUUUAAAGUCGAUGGACGGUGAGAAAAGAUUUUUUAAUUUUUAAAAUCAAAUCUCGCAGUCCAUCGACUUUAAAAUACCUAAAUCGAGUUGAAAAUGCAAGAUAAUUACAUCGUAUGCUCAAAAUUUGACGGUGAUUUCAAAAAAAAAAUAGUUUCCAACCGCUUGGCAAAUCGGUCAAAUUUCAAAUUUUAACGAAUUUUAGGCCAUUUUUUUGAGCCGUCAUAACAUUUUUUUUGAGAAGUUUUCAAGCAGUAUGAAAUUCGGUUUUUCAGACAAUUUUGAGUCUAAUAAAGCAAUUUUAAAAAUUCGACUACACCAAUUUUAACAUUUUAGUAGUUUUUCGAUUUUUUGUGGGAAAAAAUCGCAUUUUCAGCCAUUUCUCUAAUAUUUUGGCCACAAAUUCUUUUUUUCUCAUCAAAAUCAACAUAUUUUUCAUAAAUCUAGGGGAUUUUCUACUUUUUUCUCAAUUUUUCGAUUUUUUUCACUUGAAUAAUCAAAAAAUAACAUAAAAUGUAAGGUCGUUCAAUCUGAAAAUAACAUUUAUUUUUAGAAAUCCUAGAAAAAUACCUUAAAAAAGGGGAUUUUUCGAACUUUUCCGCAAAAAAAAUAUUACUUACAGAUUGAACCAAAAUUUUUAUAUCUUUUUAUCAAUUUUUAGCAAUUUUCACACCGAUUUUCCAGUAUUAUGAGUCUCAUGAAUUUUUUAAAAUUUAAAAUUUGAAACUUCAAAUUUCAAAUUAAUCAGCAAAAAAAGCCUCACUUGCGU
Molecule: non-coding RNA, 1121 nt
Organism: Caenorhabditis elegans
Lineage: Eukaryota; Metazoa; Nematoda; Chromadorea; Rhabditida; Rhabditidae
Gene: anr-45
Product: ncRNA
Source: Ensembl